This 199-nucleotide long non-coding RNA is filed under the name Gossypium barbadense (sea-island cotton). RNAcentral's name for it is "long non-coding RNA (GBAR_LNC022895)". Lineage: Eukaryota; Viridiplantae; Streptophyta; Magnoliopsida; Malvales; Malvaceae. The record is from RNAcentral.
ACAGAGCAAUCUAGGUCGUCAAUAAUCCACUCCAUUGCCUCUAGCCAAUAUUCAGCUUCAUUUGGGGCUACUCUAGAUACACCCCUAAAAACUUCUACUCCAUUAGCCCGGAGUCGUUCCGAGAUGGAUCCCCUAUUUACUAUCCCAGUGCUAGCUCCAACAACCCUUUCUAAAACCCUUAACAUUGCUUGGGACAAAG